UACGGAGGGGGCUAGCGUUGUUCGGAAUUACUGGGCGUAAAGCGCACGUAGGCGGCUUUGUAAGUUAGAGGUGAAAGCCCGGGGCUCAACCCCGGAAUUGCCUUUAAGACUGCAUCGCUAGAAUUGUGGAGAGGUAAGUGGAAUUCCGAGUGUAGAGGUGAAAUUCGUAGAUAUUCGGAAGAACACCAGUGGCGAAGGCGACUUACUGGACACAUAGUGACGCUGAGGUGCGAAAGCGUGGGGAGCAAACAGG
RNAcentral lists this ribosomal RNA (253 nucleotides) under uncultured bacterium. RNAcentral's name for it is "partial 16S ribosomal RNA". It matches the Rfam family "Bacterial small subunit ribosomal RNA", at positions 524 to 776 of the family's 1533-position model. The record is from RNAcentral.